Molecule: ribosomal RNA, 861 nt
Filed under: uncultured archaeon
Lineage: Archaea
Description: SSU rRNA
Rfam family: Archaeal small subunit ribosomal RNA
Source: RNAcentral
CCCCGGCGCCACAAGUGGCAAUCUUAUAUUGGGCCUAAAGCAUUCGUAGCAGGUUUGAAAAAUCCUUUGUGAAAUCGUCGAACUCAAUACGACGGCAUGCAGAGGACACUUUUAGACUAGAGACUGGGAGGAGUUGGGGGUAUGCCUUGGGGAGCGGUUAAAUGUGAUAAUCCAAGGUAGACCACCUGUGGCGAAGGCGCCCAACUAGAACAGUUCUGACUGUGAGGGAUGAGAGCUAGGGUAGCGAUCCGGAUUAGAUACCCGAGUAGUCCUAGCUGUAAACACUGUGAGCUAGGUGUCGCAUAUUCUACGAGAAUAUGCGGUGUCGAAAAGAAGUUGAUAAGCUCACCGCCUGGGAAGUACGGUCGCAAGACUGAAACUUAAAGGAAUUGGCGGGGGAAUACACCAGGAGUGCGGCGUGCGGUUUAAUCUAACUCAACGCAGAACACCUUACUAGAAGCGACGGCAGGAUGAAGAUCAGUCUGAAGGGCUUAUCUGAUGAGCCGAGAGGUAGUGCAUGGCCGCCGUCAGCUCGUGUCGUAAGAUGUCCUGUUAAGUCAGGCAACGAGCAAGACCUGCGCCUAUAAUUGCAAACAGGCCCUUCGGGGUGACUGUGCACAUUAUAGGGACUGCCUUCGUAAGGAGGAGGAAGGUGCAGGCAACGGUAGGUCUGUAUGCUCCGAAUCUUCUAGGCUACACGCGCGCAACAGUGGUAAAGACAAUGGGAUGCAACUCCGUAAGGAGAAGCUAAUCCUCGAAACUUUAUCGUAGUUUAGAUUGUGGGUUGCAACUCACCCACAUGACAACGGAAUUCCUAGUAAUCAGAGUUCAUCAUACUCUGGUGAAUAUGUCCCUGUUCCU